Molecule: long non-coding RNA, 212 nt
Organism: Stylophora pistillata
Lineage: Eukaryota; Metazoa; Cnidaria; Anthozoa; Scleractinia; Pocilloporidae
Source: RefSeq, a predicted model, not a curated record
AGUCUAUGUGCAGCUUUCUUAACCUGCAUUUGGUUCUGAGAUUUUCAUUUUAAUUAUCUUACUGAUUAAAUCAGCUCAUAGAUCCCAGCCUGCAACAAGCCAAGGCAAAAAAGAAAUCUCUUGUUCAACGAAUUCAGCUUUUAUUGGACAAGAGUGAUGGAAUAUCAAACAGAAUCGAAUCCCUUAAGAAGAAUUCAUAGCAAGAUAAUGCA